This 287-nucleotide unclassified non-coding RNA is filed under the name Hevea brasiliensis (rubber tree). Lineage: Eukaryota; Viridiplantae; Streptophyta; Magnoliopsida; Malpighiales; Euphorbiaceae. The record is from RNAcentral.
UAAAAAGAAUAUAUCGUGGUUAACUCCUCCAGCUUGAUUCAGUUUAUGAUUUCUCUCUUCAACACCACAAACUCCCAAAUGAUCAGCGAAUCUCUUGAAAUUGAUGCCCUAUAUCCAUAUUUAAUUGUUUUAUAGUGUUUGUCUACUCUUUGAUUGCUCGACAAACAACAUGCAACCGCUGAUCAUCUUCAUGAGGUUGAUUGCCACUACUAAUACCAGUACUGACCAUCGUAAUGAGGGUGAAAUCCUUACUCUGAUACCACCUAACAAAUUGAAUCUUUUUGUUG